UGGGUAACCUGCCUCAAAGAGGGGAAUAGCCUCCCGAAAGGGAGAUUAAUACCGCAUAACAUGUUUAGGUCGCAUGAUUUUAACAUCAAAGGAUUUUCUUCGGAACUUCCACUUUGAGAUGGACCCGCGGCGCAUUAGCUAGUUGGUGAGGUAACGGCUCACCAAGGCAACGAUGCGUAGCCGACCUGAGAGGGUGAUCGGCCACAUUGGAACUGAGACACGGUCCAGACUCCUAGGGAGG
RNAcentral lists this ribosomal RNA (241 nucleotides) under uncultured bacterium. RNAcentral describes it as "partial 16S ribosomal RNA". It matches the Rfam family "Bacterial small subunit ribosomal RNA", at positions 118 to 348 of the family's 1533-position model. The record is from RNAcentral.